GUGGAUGUAGUUCAACGGUUAGAACGCCUGAUUGUGGCUCAGGAAGUUGCAGGUUCAAAUCCCGUCAUCUACC
This 73-nucleotide transfer RNA is filed under the name seawater metagenome. RNAcentral describes it as "tRNA-His". It matches the Rfam family "tRNA". From Rfam's summary of the family: Transfer RNA (tRNA) molecules are approximately 80 nucleotides in length. Their secondary structure includes four short double-helical elements and three loops (D, anti-codon, and T loops). The record is from RNAcentral.